CCCUAGUCCUGAUUGCAGCAUUUGUCUGAGCUCAUUUUUAAUGAUUUUUGUGGCGCGGCUUCGCCGCGCCACAAAAAUCAUUAAAAAUAGCGAGUGCGGAAAGCAGGAAAUAAC
This 114-nucleotide unclassified non-coding RNA is filed under the name Chryseobacterium gambrini. RNAcentral's name for it is "Flavo-1 RNA". Lineage: Bacteria; Pseudomonadati; Bacteroidota; Flavobacteriia; Flavobacteriales; Weeksellaceae. The record is from RNAcentral.